RNAcentral lists this unclassified non-coding RNA (429 nucleotides) under Semenovia eriocarpa. RNAcentral describes it as "Seseli elbursense partial external transcribed spacer". The record is from RNAcentral. Lineage: Eukaryota; Viridiplantae; Streptophyta; Magnoliopsida; Apiales; Apiaceae.
ACCAGGUAGCAUUCCUUUUUGCUGCCGGCACCGCAUGAGCAAGAGGAAGAUUACUGUCCUCCCGUCAACACAGGGCACGUCAGGCUUCCGUAAGGGACAAUUGAUUCGGGCAAAAAGGGACGAAGUCCCCAACCGAUCAUUGCUUCUACAUACAAGACUUCGGGCAACACAUGAACGUCCAAUGCCUGCUAGCUAAAUAAGCAAAGCAAGGACGGACGACCAUGGGUGCUUCAGGGUCUAGGUCGCACAAAACAUUUAGGCACGAGAUAGAGCAUGGAUCGUGGGACUGGAGAAUUCCGUCAAAAUAGGUAUGCUGCACAGGGGGCCAAGCCAAUCCAAGGUAAAAGAGUUACACUCGAACAAAAUUGAACAGGUGUGAACCAGCGAUUGUCGCUGCCAUGGCAGGGAACCAACCAACCGGAACAUACC